Molecule: long non-coding RNA, 1429 nt
Filed under: Citrus maxima (pomelo)
Lineage: Eukaryota; Viridiplantae; Streptophyta; Magnoliopsida; Sapindales; Rutaceae
Description: long non-coding RNA (CMAX_LNC000519)
Source: RNAcentral
GGGAUAACGCCGGAGAGGUUAUUCUUGGAAAGAUCCACGGCAGAAAUGUUUGGAAUUUUUCCGAGUUGUGAAGGUAUCGUGCCAUUUAUGAAGUUACGGCUUAAAUCAAGUUGUCUCAAAAAUAUAAGGUUGCCUAUCUCCGAUGGAAUGCUUCCGCUUAAACUGUUGUGGGUUAAUACCAAGUUCAGUAACUGCGAGCAAUUCAUGAGUUGUAGAGGGAUGGAGCUGUUGAGCUGAUUGUAACCAAGAUUCAAAGAGGUGAGGUUCGUUAAAUAACCAAUUGUUGAAGGAAUAGGUCCAAUCAGAUUGUUCGUAUCAAGAGAUAGAGAAUCAAGGUUCCUCAGAUUUCCAACUUCUCGAGGCAGCAGACCACUAAGUUGGUUUGAAGAAAGAUCCAGAGAGGUUAAGUUGGUUAAAUUUCCUAUGGUCGGUGGAAUUGGACCAUUAAGUCUGUUGUGAGACAAGUCCAACUUUUCCAACGAGUUUAAAUAACCAAUGGUCGAAGGAAUAGGUCCAGUGAGAUUGUUCCUAUUUAGAAGCAGAGUCUUAAGAUUCUUCAUAUUUCCAACUUCUCUAGGCAGUGGACCGACAAGAUUGUUGUAAGCCAAGUACAAAACUCUUAACUGAUUUAAAUGAUAAAGUGUUGAAGGAAUAGGUCCAGUUAGAUUAUUAUUAUCUAGAUACAGAGAGAAAAGAUUCUUCAGAUUUCCAACUUCUCGAGGCAGCCGACCACUAAGUUUGUUUAGAGAAAGGUCCAAAAUUGUCAGCUUGGUUAAAUUACCUAUGCUCGAUGGGAUUAGACCAUCUAGUUUGUUACCUCGCAGAAUCAGGGAAUGAGGAUUCUUCAAAUUUCCAAUUUCUAAGGGGAUAGCACCAUUGAGAAUGUUAAAAGAUAGGCCCAGUACGACGAGAUUCCUCAAACUCCCGAUCGCCGAGGGGAUAGUACCUAUCGUAUAUAUACACAUGCAUAUGAUUAACUAACGAUAAAUGAGCAAUAUUAUCCAGUACCGAUAGGAAAUUAUUGUAUAUGCAAUGAAAUUAUUUAUAAUGGUUACCUGUAAGAAGGUUAUAGGACAGGUCAAGCUCCUCGAGUUUUGAAAGAGCACCAAUUUCUGAUGGUAUCCUUCCGGAGAGAAAACGAGUGCCCCAAAUUCUGAAAGUUACGAGGUUAGGAAAGCAAGUGAAGUUGAAUUGGCUAAGCUCUGCUGCGUUGCCAUUGUUUUCCAUCUCCUCAGAGUUUAUCUCGACUAUGCUUCCUGCUGAAUUGCAAGUGAUUCCCAUCCACUUGCAAUGAUCUGAAGUAUAGUUGGCCCUCGCCCGACUGCUAUUCCACCAGCCUGAAUUAAGUAAAGCUUCCCUUUCUAACUGAAUGGCUGACGAUGCAGCAGACGCUGUUACAACUGCAUUAUCAGUUGUAACAGGAGCAAUA